This 625-nucleotide ribosomal RNA is filed under the name uncultured bacterium. RNAcentral's name for it is "bacterial SSU rRNA". It matches the Rfam family "Bacterial small subunit ribosomal RNA", at positions 110 to 731 of the family's 1533-position model. The record is from RNAcentral.
GUAAUAUAUCGGAACGUGCCCAGUCGUGGGGGAUAACGUAGAGAAAUUUACGCUAAUACCGCAUACGAUCUAAGGAUGAAAGCGGGGGAUCGCAAGACCUCGCGCGAUUGGAGCGGCUGAUAUCAGAUUAGGUUGUUGGUGAGGUAAAAGCUCACCAAGCCGACGAUCUGUAGCUGGUUUGAGAGAACGACCAGCCACACUGGGACUGAGACACGGCCCAGACUCCUACGGGAGGCAGCAGUGGGGAAUUUUGGACAAUGGGCGAAAGCCUGAUCCAGCAAUGCCGCGUGCAGGAAGAAGGCCUUCGGGUUGUAAACUGCUUUUGUACGGAACGAAACGGCCUGCCCUAAUACGGCGGGCUAAUGACGGUACCGUAAGAAUAAGCACCGGCUAACUACGUGCCAGCAGCCGCGGUAAUACGUAGGGUGCGAGCGUUAAUCGGAAUUACUGGGCGUAAAGCGUGCGCAGGCGGUUAUGUAAGACAGUUGUGAAAUCCCCGGGCUCAACCUGGGAAUUGCAUCUGUGACUGCAUAGCUAGAGUACGGUAGAGGGGGAUGGAAUUCCGCGUGUAGCAGUGAAAUGCGUAGAUAUGCGGAGGAACACCGAUGGCGAAGGCAAUCCCCUG